AAAUUUAUAAAAAAAAGAAACCAAAAACAAGCAUGUAGUUGCAUCAUUUGCAUCCUUAGGAUUGAGUCUACAGCAUAUAUGAUUGCAUUCAUGUUGCAUUUGGAACAAUGAUUGGGAUUGCCUUAUAGCUUAAACUUCUCUUGGAAAACUUGUAUGCUUUGUGCCUUGAAAGCUCCGCUUGAAACUUGUUGUGCUGUGUGAAAUUUAUAUAGCCUUGAAACCAGCUCCAAAUGAACCUGAACUUAAUGAAUCUAAUCUCUCUUGGAUAUGGACAUUUGCAUACUUAGUCAUGGAUCUCAUACACAUUUGAGUUAUCUUAUUCCAUUCAUUACUUUUUUGUUAACCCAAAUGGCACUCCACACCCUUAAACCCUUACCAUUCUUUGAGACCAACAUUGAUUUGCUUGAGUGAGGCCUCUUCUUGAUAGCUUGUCAUGUGCAAAAUCUUGAGAGUAUUGGGAGCGACAUAGGUUUGUUCUCAUCUUUGGCUAGCAAUAGGAACCUCAUUUGAGCUAGCAUCUAGGAUGGUGGGUGAGUUUGUGUACUCUAAGAUCUUUUAUCUUGGGUUUGGGAAGUGAAAAAAAAAGAGGAAAAGAUGACUAAAGAGAAGUCAAAAGAUAGAAAGACCCUAGGGACAAGAGAGGUUAAUGAGAGAAAGCUCUAGAUAAGAAAAGUGUUGUAAGAAAAAAAAAAAAAGAAAAAAAAAAGAGAGUGAAUAAGGAAAAGUUAGAGCUAAGUGUUGAUAAAGAUAUUGAGUCCCUAGUGGUUAAAAAAAAAAAAAAAAGAGAGAGAGCAAGAAUGUUUAUCGGGUGAAAAAGGAGAUUUGUGGAGUUUGAUGUCACUUAGAAAAGGGUAGAAGGAUGAGAACCAAUCUAUGUAUGCAUCAGUUGCUUCUUUUCUUAGAUAAAUUUUGCAUAAUGAUCAGGUUCCUGUUUUUGAGUGAUAGCUAGAAAAAAUGCUUUGGAAACCCUUCUUUAUUCUCAUGAAACCAACCCUUGUUCACCAAGCCAAAUGACUAGGAUCAAUUAUCCAUUUGCAAGAAUUCACGUGUUUGCAUUGUGCUUAAUUUAAUGUGAGAGCUGGUUAAGGUGCUUGUUAAUUGAUGAUCCGGCAACUUGUAUAGAGGUAUGAGUUGCAC
RNAcentral lists this long non-coding RNA (1137 nucleotides) under Brassica rapa (field mustard). RNAcentral's name for it is "long non-coding RNA (BRAP_LNC003509)". The record is from RNAcentral. Lineage: Eukaryota; Viridiplantae; Streptophyta; Magnoliopsida; Brassicales; Brassicaceae.